AUUUAACGCGCCGGCAUCCCUUACACAUGCAAGUCGACCGGCAGCGCGGACUUCGGUCUGGCGGCGAGUGGCGAACGGGUGAGUAAUGUAUCGGAACGUGCCCUAGAGUGGGGGAUAACGUAGCGAAAGUUACGCUAAUACCGCAUACGAUCUACGGAUGAAAGUGGGGGACCGCAAGGCCUCACGCUCAUGGAGCGGCCGAUAUCUGAUUAGCUAGUUGGUAGGGUAAAAGCCUACCAAGGCGACGAUCAGUAGCUGGUCUGAGAGGACGACCAGCCACACUGGGACUGAGACACGGCCCAGACUCCUACGGGAGGCAGCAGUGGGGAAUUUUGGACAAUGGGCGAAACCCUGAUCCAGCAAUGCCGCGUGUGCGAAGAAGGCCUUCGGGUUGUAAAGCAUUUUUGUCAGGAGCGAAAACGGUGGGGUUUAACAUCCUCUGCUAAUGACGGUACCUGAAGAAUAAGCACCGGCUAACUACGUGCCAGCAGCCGCGGUAAUACGUAGGGUGCGAGCGUUAAUCGGAAUUACUGGGCGUAAAGCGUGCGCAGGCGGUUGUGCAAGACAGAUGUGAAAUCCCCGGGCUUAACCUGGGAAUUGCAUUUGUGACUGCACGGCUAGAGUGUGUCAGAGGGGGGUAGAAUUCCACGUGUAGCAGUGAAAUGCGUAGAUAUGUGGAGGAACACCGAUGGCGAAGGCAGCCCCCUGGGAUAACAC
RNAcentral lists this ribosomal RNA (717 nucleotides) under uncultured bacterium. Its description in RNAcentral is "bacterial SSU rRNA". It matches the Rfam family "Bacterial small subunit ribosomal RNA", at positions 28 to 740 of the family's 1533-position model. The record is from RNAcentral.